GAUUUGCUGGACGAAGAAGAUGAUGAUGAGGAGGAGGUUGAAGAUCGCACACACCAGGCAAGCGGAGAAACCGUUCUCCUCGACAGCCAGGAACUGUUUAUCACCCUGGAGCCAAAACCCUCCCAACCAUCCCAACCCAGGCUCCCGCACCUUGAAGGCAGAGAAGGCAUCUCUGCUGCAAAUGUUUCAACCCUGCGACUAGCAUCUCUGUCCCAAAGGCUAGCGCAGAUAAGAAGGC
This is a long non-coding RNA of Chelonia mydas (Green sea turtle), 238 nucleotides long. RefSeq lists it as uncharacterized. The record is from RefSeq and is a predicted model, not a curated record. The transcript is spliced from 2 exons. NCBI's taxonomy places the organism in Eukaryota, Metazoa, Chordata, Testudines, Cheloniidae.